Molecule: non-coding RNA, 618 nt
Organism: Biomphalaria pfeifferi
Lineage: Eukaryota; Metazoa; Mollusca; Gastropoda; Planorbidae
Source: the annotation of a GenBank genome assembly
CACCAGCCAUGUUUUAAAGUUUGUCAUCCCCUUAAACUUCUUAGGAUCUUUAUUUCGCCCAAGAAUCUUUACAUUUGGGGAAAUAAAAUUUUAAAAAGUGCUUAAUUCAAUAGUGAGGGUUAAAAGUUCAUCUCAGACAUUCUGAGAAAAAUCUGAAACUCUCCUGUUUUAGAGUUGAAAUAAUAAGAUACAUUUAUCAUCUGUAUAAUAUAGUUUUAUGUCCAGUCUAUGGUUCUGAAAAGGCUUUAGACUAGCAUUAAUAUUUGAUAUAAACUGAACUAGGAAAUGGCAACUUAUUAACACAAGCACUUCACCUUAGAUAGUUAUGUUUCUUCGUUCAAAAUUCACUUACAGCAUAAGAUCUUCUUAAAUUUAGAUGUUUAGUAAAUAUGUUAUGACACCAGAGGGCACUGUCUAUUGUAAAUAGCUAUUUCUCCUUUCCAAGUCUGAUAUCUAUGCAAGUGCAUCAUCAUUAAUGUUAUUAUUGUAAAUAAAUAUUUCAAACUGUCUGUAUAGCUUUGUUAUUUCAUACAAACUUAAUUAGCAAACUAUUUUUGUAGCUCAUUCAAUAUACAUUUUGUUAUACCAAAUAUUAAACUUUUAAUUUAUUCAAGUCAA